Molecule: non-coding RNA, 77 nt
Organism: Podarcis lilfordi (Lilford's wall lizard)
Lineage: Eukaryota; Metazoa; Chordata; Lepidosauria; Squamata; Lacertidae
Source: the annotation of a GenBank genome assembly
GGAGAAAGGCUGUAGCUCAGUGGAAGAGCACUUGCUGUGCAAGCAGAAGGUCCCAGGUUCAAUCCCCAGCUUCUCCA